This is a long non-coding RNA of Mesocricetus auratus (golden hamster), 1163 nucleotides long. RefSeq lists it as uncharacterized. The record is from RefSeq and is a predicted model, not a curated record. The transcript has 2 exons. NCBI's taxonomy places the organism in Eukaryota, Metazoa, Chordata, Mammalia, Rodentia, Cricetidae.
GUUACACCCAUGAUUCCAACAGUGACCGGCAAACACAGCACUAUCAGCAAUAACAAAACAAAAGGAAGAAAUUCAAGUCCGGCCAGGUUCCAGCUGCACUCAGCUGAGCUGCUGCAGCGCUGCCUGGUACCUGCAGGCUUCUGCUUCCCAAACUCCAGCUGAAGAGCCAGCUUGUACCUGACCUCUCACUGCUCCAUAAGGGUCAUACACGCAGACCAGGUGAAAGCCAGGACAGGGUGCUGGACAGCCAUGGGGACCCAGAAACCAGCAGACAUGCUAGUCCAAGCACUCAUGCAGAUACCAGCAGUAACGAGGAGAGACAGGAGCUGUUUCUGGACAGAAUCGCAGACAGCACUGGCUGAAGGCUCCUGGGAAAAUCAGGAAUAAGUACAUCACGGGAACAUCAAAAUGUCAAUUGUUCUGGAACAACUUUGUUCCAAUUCUCCAGGGAAUGCUGCCUGCAACUCCUUCAGAUUUUUCUAAGAGAGAAAAUCAGCCUUCAGCCACCCCUGGACUGAGGCCACCAUCUACUGGUUUCAGAACCACGUCCUGCAGCCCAUCAGACAGAUACAUCUCAAGGUGUGUCUGAAACAGCCUGGUGUAUUGGCACCCUGACCCGGGUCAGAAUCCACAGAUAAAAGUGUGACUCCAGGCUCCUGCCUUGGGGCUUCGGGAACAGUGAGCAGGGACCCACCCUGCUCACAUCAACUGGCCAUUCGGGUUCAUCAAGAUGAAAUUAUUUUCAUUUGCAGCCACACCCAGUGCUCCACCUGAAGAAGAGGCAUCCAGGCUGGUUUGACCCUUGGACAAAGGCUUCCUGCCCAGAGCCACGCAGCGCUCAUGUCUACAGACCGGCCAAGAACAGAACUUCCAGGGAAAGCCAGGUGGUCCUGAUUGAAGCCACAGUUGAAUGGAGAGGCCUCCAGCCUCAAAGCAUCCUCCUUCUCUACCUACUGAAGACCAGUCUACAACCAAGCUAUGCAUUAGUUUCCAGCUCAUGCACCCAGGGAUGAAGUCCAAACCAGGUGAAAUGUGAGGUUCCAAAAGGCUUAAGAACACACCGAGAAAACAGGUUGAUAACUGUUCCCUUUUCCUUUUUUAACCUCUCCUUGCAUUCAGACUCUAAGGAAAUCAGCCCCAUUAAAUUAAAGGCUGUUUUCUCA